Molecule: ribosomal RNA, 1177 nt
Filed under: Salmonella enterica
Lineage: Bacteria; Pseudomonadati; Pseudomonadota; Gammaproteobacteria; Enterobacterales; Enterobacteriaceae
Description: bacterial LSU rRNA
Rfam family: Bacterial large subunit ribosomal RNA
Source: RNAcentral
GGGUUGUGAGGUUAAGCGACUAAGCGUACACGGUGGAUGCCCUGGCAGUCAGAGGCGAUGAAGGGCGUGCUAAUCUGCGAUAAGCGCCGGUAAGGUGAUAUGAACCGUUAUAACCGGCGAUACCCGAAUGGGGAAACCCAGUGUGAUUCGUCACACUAUCAUUAACUGAAUCCAUAGGUUAAUGAGGCGAACCGGGGGAACUGAAACAUCUAAGUACCCCGAGGAAAAGAAAUCAACCGAGAUUCCCCCAGUAGCGGCGAGCGAACGGGGAGGAGCCCAGAGCCUGAAUCAGCAUGUGUGUUAGUGGAAGCGUCUGGAAAGGCGCGCGAUACAGGGUGACAGCCCCGUACACAAAAGCGCAUGUGCUGUGAGCUCGAUGAGUAGGGCGGGACACGUGGUAUCCUGUCUGAAUAUGGGGGGACCAUCCUCCAAGGCUAAAUACUCCUGACUGACCGAUAGUGAACCAGUACCGUGAGGGAAAGGCGAAAAGAACCCCGGCGAGGGGAGUGAAAAAGAACCUGAAACCGUGUACGUACAAGCAGUGGGAGCACCCUUGGGGUGUGACUGCGUACCUUUUGUAUAAUGGGUCAGCGACUUAUAUUCUGUAGCAAGGUUAACCGUAUAGGGGAGCCGUAGGGAAACCGAGUCUUAACCGGGCGUUAAGUUGCAGGGUAUAGACCCGAAACCCGGUGAUCUAGCCAUGGGCAGGUUGAAGGUUGGGUAACACUAACUGGAGGACCGAACCGACUAAUGUUGAAAAAUUAGCGGAUGACCUGUGGCUGGGGGUGAAAGGCCAAUCAAACCGGGAGAUAGCUGGUUCUCCCCGAAAGCUAUUUAGGUAGCGCCUCGUGAAUUCAUCUCCGGGGGUAGAGCACUGUUUCGGCUAGGGGGCCAUCCCGGCUUACCAACCCGAUGCAAACUGCGAAUACCGGAGAAUGUUAUCACGGGAGACACACGGCGGGUGCUAACGUCCGUCGUGAAGAGGGAAACAACCCAGACCGCCAGCUAAGGUCCCAAAGUCAUGGUUAAGUGGGAAACGAUGUGGGAAGGCCCAGACAGCCAGGAUGUUGGCUUAGAAGCAGCCAUCAUUUAAAGAAAGCGUAAUAGCUCACUGGUCGAGUCGGCCUGCGCGGAAGAUGUAACGGGGCUAAACCAUGCACCGAAGCUGCGGCAGCGA